This is a long non-coding RNA of Lycium ferocissimum, 282 nucleotides long. RefSeq lists it as uncharacterized. The record is from RefSeq and is a predicted model, not a curated record. Lineage: Eukaryota; Viridiplantae; Streptophyta; Magnoliopsida; Solanales; Solanaceae. The transcript has 2 exons.
AGCUUAGUAUUUGUGUUAAAAAUUAGUUUUACAUACUUGAUUUUGACAUCUGGUAUUGGUGAUAUAGGUUUACUGCUGUUUGGGUUUUGUUUCUUUUUCCUUUUUAAACCUUCUGCUUUAGACUAACUUCUUUAAGUUGGUUGUCUUAGUAGUGUGUACUGGUAGCAGGGAUGACUUCCGAAUUCAGAAGGUCUCUUGACUCAUCCUUUCAAUGGGGACAAGUUAUAUUAGGUGUACAGGAAGUGCUCAUCUAGAGCACUUGUUAGUUUUUUUUUUUUUUUU